This 447-nucleotide ribosomal RNA is filed under the name uncultured bacterium. RNAcentral's name for it is "bacterial SSU rRNA". It matches the Rfam family "Bacterial small subunit ribosomal RNA", at positions 329 to 792 of the family's 1533-position model. The record is from RNAcentral.
CCCCAGACUCCUACGGGAGGCAGCAGUGGGGAAUAUUGCACAAUGGGGGAAACCCUGAUGCGGCGACGCCGCGUGAAGGAAGAAGUAUCUCGGUAUGUAAACUUCUAUCAGCAGGGAAGAAAACAGACGGUACCUGACUAAGAAGCCCCGGCUAACUACGUGCCAGCAGCCGCGGCAAUAUGUAGGGGGCAAGCGUUAUCCGGAUUCACUGGGUGUAAAGGGAGCGUAGACGGCGACGCAAGUCUGGAGUGAAAGCCCGGGGCCCAACCCCGGGACUGCUCUGGAAACUGCGGCGCUGGAGUACGGGAGUGGCAGGCGGAAUUCCUGGUGUAGCGGUGAAAUGCGUAGAUAUCAGGAGGAACACCGGCGGCGAAGGCGGCCUGCUGGACCGUGACUGACGUUGAGGCUCGAGAGCGUGGGGAGCAAACAGGAUUAGAUACCCUGGUA